Molecule: long non-coding RNA, 862 nt
Organism: Sapajus apella (tufted capuchin)
Lineage: Eukaryota; Metazoa; Chordata; Mammalia; Primates; Cebidae
Exons: 4
Source: RefSeq, a predicted model, not a curated record
UUUUGUAAAGUAAGGGUUUGUGGUAACCCUAUGUUGAGCAAGUCUGUUGGCACCAUUUUUUCCAAUACCAUAUGCUCACUUCAUGGCUCUGUAUCACAUUUUGGUAAUUUUAAAAUAUUUGAAACUGUUAUUAGCAAAUCUGUUAUGAUGGUCUGUGAUCAGUGGUCUUUGAUGUGAGCAUACGCUCACUUCAUGGCUCUGUAUCACAUUUUGGUAGUUUAAAUAUUUGAAACUUUUUUCUUAUUAGCAUAUCUGUUAUGACGGUCUGUGAUCAGUGGUCUUUGUACUUGUUUUGGGGUUUCAUGUACCACAUCCAUGUAAGAUGGAGAACUUAGGCAAUAAAUGGUAUGUGUGUUCUAACUAUUCAAUCGACUGGCAAUUCCUCUGUCUCUUUCCCUCUCUUUGGGCCUCCUUAUCCCCUGAAAUGCAACAAUAUUGAAAUUAGGCCUAUGAGUAACCCAACAGUCGCCUUUAAGUGUCAAGUGAAAGGAAGAAUCCCAUCUCUCACUUUAAAUAAAAAGCUAGAAGUGAUUAAACUAAGUGAGGAAGGCAUGUUGAAAGUCAAGAUAGGCCAAAAGCUAGGCCUUUUGUGCCAGUUAGCCAAGUUAUGAAUGCAAAGAAGAAAAACUUCUUGAAGGAAAUUAAAAGUGCUACUCCAGGGAACAUAGGAAUGAUAAAGCAAAACAGCCUUGUUGCUGACCUGGAGAAAGUUUUAAUGGUCUGGGUAGAAGAUCAAGCAAGCCACAACACUCCCUUAAACCAGACACAGUGCCUCAUGUCUGUAAUCUCAGCACUUUGAAAGACUGAGGCAGGAGGAUCACUUGAGGCCAAGACUUCAAGACCAGCCUGGGCAAUAUAGCAA